GAUAUCAAUUUGGUUUUACUUUUUAUCAUAUCUACUAUUUCCAUCGAUUGUUUCUUAUGAUAUUAUCUGGUCUAGAAAGCACAUUGGUUACUGUUUUGGAAAGGAUCUUUAAGACAAGAUAUGGUGCUUCUCUCAUCCAAGUAUAUGAUAUGCCUUUGUUUCUUGGAUGUAUGUAUUAUGUGUCUCCUAGGAUAUAGUUUUUUUAAACAUUUCUCUUUGUUCUUACUUCAGCUUUUCAUACAAAUAGACUUAGCAGCAGAAUCUCGAGAAGUCAGAUCUUCAGCAAUUAAAAUGAUAUGGAUUAAAGUUGUUUAUGCUUCUUUUAAUUUACUUUGAGAGGGAUGAAUGGUAUCGCUCCUAAUUAGAAAAACUACUGCUUUAUUGGCAUGUUGUAUACUUGCUUUCCAUAUGUUCCUUCUCCUGUCUUCUUGAAUUUUUUUCGGGGAGUUGAUUACUUAGCAGACAAAUUAUUAGUGUGGCCUGGCAUCAUAACAACCAUCAUCAAGUUACUUAAAUUCUGAUAAUUUAAAUGAAGGUGUUGUACCGGUUUUUCAAUUAUCAAUUUAUUAGUUGGAAUCUGAUUCUUGGGGUUCGAGGAUUGUUAUGUGUUUGAUGUUUCAUGUUGUAGAGGGUUUGGGCAAAAUUUGAUUGGAGUCUUACAGAAAAGAGCAAGCUUGAUGCUCAUCAACCAGAGCUUUUCAUAGGAUUGUCCUUGACAAGGUGAAAGGGACACUCUGCAUGUUUAACAGUGUUCUUAUCAAUAUGACCAAAGCGAGUAUGUACAUUCUUAGUUUUGAGGCAUGCAUUUGCAGAAAGUUACAUGCAACUGAUGUUGUCAGUGAUUUUCUAAUUUAUGAUGUUAUUGCAUUAUUUUAUGGAAUAUUUUCUUUUGAUUAGGUUUUAGGUCAAUGUAAAUGGCAUGCGUCACUUGACUCUGAUUUUGUUUAUGGGGAGUGUAUUUUGCACAAUCUUAAUCUAUUUGUAAGAAAUUGGAAGAUGUAUAUUCAUCAAUGAAGAGGAACUCCAAAGACAUGUUCUGAUCUGAUUAUUUUUUGUUGGAUGCCUUUUUUCUUCAAUUGGAUCAAUCAAUGCACAAUGUUCUGAUUGUUUUGUGGUGGAUGCCUUUUUUCUUUUUUUCUAAUCCUAAGGUGCAUGAUUCACAUAUUUAGCUGCAGGUUCAGUAGUUGCAGGUAAGAGAUCAUCAGAAUUUGAGUUUGAAGAGUCUGAUCCAGAGUGAUAAGUAUUAAUUUAAAGGAUCUACCAGUGGAGAACACUUAAGGAUCGGGAUACUACUCAGACAAAUUUGACUCUUCUUGCUAGUUUUGCUCGGCAGGGAAGAAGGUUUCUUAACCUUCCACUCUCUGAGCCUGAAAUUCAUGAAGAGUUUUUUAAGGGCCUCAAUAUCACAACAGGGCAUAAAAAAUUCUUCACAACAAGCAUUUCAAACAUAUUAUGGUGCAGCAGCAGAACUACUUCAAUCCGAGCAUUCUGUAAGAGUUAUGUGGCCUAGCUUAAGAUAGUUUUACUUUUCUAUCUUUCUUUCUGGGUCUAGAGGGUUAGAUGUUGAUUUUGCACCUUAUACGUAUGCUUUAUCUAUGUUGGACAGAGCUUCUAAUUUAUUUUCUUGCUAAUGAUAUCUGUUUCUUUAUAUCAAUAGUGGAAUACUGGUUUUGAUUGUAAUUAAUGCAUUUUCGUGAUACUUUUAGUCACUUUGCAAAAUGGAGCAUGAAUAUGCCAAAUUCCUUAAUGCUAAAAGAGAGCUCAGUGAUGAAAAUGUCACUUCAUAUGAGAAACAAGUGUCUCUUCAUAUGAGAAACAACGGAAAUCUUAUGAACAAUUGAACCGCAAUGUCUCAUUGUAAGUUGCUUUACAUUUUUUAUGCCAUUUAUUUUCAUUUUUUAAUUCAUGACUUGGUGGUGCAGGUCAGAUGGAUCACAUAGUUUGGUAACAGUUGGUAAAAGAGUUGAAGGUGCAACCAGAUGGAUAAUAUGCUUCUUGUUGAAGGUUCCACCAGAAGAGCAGAAGCUUGCAGUCAGUCAACUGUGGUGAAUCAUAUUUUUAUGUUUUUGGAUCAAUUGACAUAGCUAGGUUGGGUUGUAGAGUCAUCUAGGUUUGUUUUUGAGAGAGAUGUAUGUCUAGACUUGGAUUUGAAUUUGUUCAAACUUGGAUAGCUUGUGAAUUUGGUGGAAGAAUGUUGAUAUUUUUUAAAUGCAAUGAA
Long non-coding RNA from Prunus avium (sweet cherry), 2218 nucleotides. RefSeq lists it as uncharacterized. Lineage: Eukaryota; Viridiplantae; Streptophyta; Magnoliopsida; Rosales; Rosaceae. The record is from RefSeq and is a predicted model, not a curated record.